GCGGCUACUGCUAUCAGGUUUCGACUAAGCCAUGCGAGUCAAGGGGUCGUAAGACACCGGCGUACUGCUCAGUAACACGCGGACAAUCUACCCCCAGGUGGAGGAUAACCUCGGGAAACUGAGGCUAAUACCCCAUAGUUGUCAUGUGCUGGAAUGCUUUGACGAUGAAAGAAUUUCGCCUGAGGAUGAGUCUGCGGCCUAUCAGGUAGUAUGUGGUGUAAAGGACCACAUAGCCUAAGACGGGUACGGGCCUUGAAAGAGGGAGCCCGGAGAUGGACUCUGAGACACUAGUCCAGGCCCUACGGGGCGCAGCAGGCGCGAAAACUGUGCAAUGCGCGCAAGCGCGACACGGGAAGCCUGAGUGCCUUAACUAUGUUAAGGCUUUUCUUGAUCCUAAAAAGCUCAAGGAAUAAGAGCUGGGUAAGACGGGUGCCAGCCGCCGCGGUAACACCCGCGGCUCGAGUGGUAGUCACUUUUAUUGAGCCUAAAGCGCUUGUAGCCGGAUUUGUAAAUCUCUAGGAAAAUACUUCUGCUUAACUGAAGAAAUUUUGGAGAGACUGCAAAUCUAGGGACCGGGUGAGGUUGAAUGUACUUCUGGGGUAGGGGUAAAAUCCUGUAAUCCUGGAAGGACGACCGGUGGCGAAGGCGUUCAACUAGAACGGAUCCGACGGUGAGGAACGAAGGCUAGGGGAGCAAACCGGAUUAGAUACCCGGGUAGUCCUAGCUGUAAACACUGCCCACUUGGUGUUGCAUCUCCGGUAAGGGGGUGCAGUGCCGUAGCGAAGGUGUUAAGUGGGCCGCUUGGGGAGUAUGGUCGCAAGGCUGAAACUUAA
RNAcentral lists this ribosomal RNA (833 nucleotides) under archaeon enrichment culture. RNAcentral describes it as "bacterial SSU rRNA". It matches the Rfam family "Archaeal small subunit ribosomal RNA", at positions 20 to 859 of the family's 1478-position model. The record is from RNAcentral.